RNAcentral lists this ribosomal RNA (446 nucleotides) under uncultured bacterium. Its description in RNAcentral is "partial 16S ribosomal RNA". It matches the Rfam family "Bacterial small subunit ribosomal RNA", at positions 338 to 795 of the family's 1533-position model. The record is from RNAcentral.
CCUACGGGGCGCUGCAGUCGAGAAUCAUUCACAAUGGGGGAAACCCUGAUGGUGCGACGCCGCGUGGGGGAAUGAAGGUCUUCGGAUUGUAAACCCCUGUCAUGUGGGAGCAAAUUAAAAAGAUAGUACCACAAGAGGAAGAGACGGCUAACUCUGUGCCAGCAGCCGCGGUAAUACAGAGGUCUCAAGCGUUGUUCGGAAUCACUGGGCGUAAGGCGUGCGUAGGCUGUUUCGUAAGUCGUGUGUGAAAGGCGCGGGCUCAACCCGCGGACGGCACAUGAUACUGCGAGACUAGAGUAAUGGAGGGGGAACCGGAAUUCUCGGUGUAGCAGUGAAAUGCGUAGAUAUCGAGAGGAACACUCGUGGCGAAGGCGGGUUCCUGGACAUUAACUGACGCUGAGGCACGAAGGCCAGGGGAGCGAAAGGGAUUAGAUACCCUAGUAGUC